CACAACGAUUCACCGGUACGUAUGCUAUGAGUCAUAGAUUUUGUCACUGUUGAUCACAUUUACUUAAAGGUCGUUUGGACUCCGCCCAAGUCUCAUGUACUGAGGAAAGAGGUUCACUCAACUUCUGUUCUUCCGAUGUAAAAUUAGCUAGCUUGUUAACAAUAGCAGCCCAAUUUCUCAAAAACUGUAAAUCUACCAUCUCUGAUUGCACCAGACUGCUGCUCACGGACAGAAGAGAUGGACUUCAACGACCAAUAUCCAGGUAGAUGAACCUCCUUCUUAUUAGCUCUUCCACUCCCAAAGACCCAGCUGAGCCAGCCUCCACUGUUAUUGUGAACA
Molecule: long non-coding RNA, 339 nt
Organism: Oncorhynchus tshawytscha (Chinook salmon)
Lineage: Eukaryota; Metazoa; Chordata; Actinopteri; Salmoniformes; Salmonidae
Source: Ensembl